GUCUGGUCUGCUCACUGAAAUUUUAUUAAAGAGCCGCGGUAUUUUGACCGUGCAAAGGUCGCAUAAUCAUUAGUCUUUUAAUUGAAGGCUGGAAUGAAUGGCUUGACGAGAAAUCAACUGUCUCUUAAUAAUUUUUUGAAUUUAACCUUUGAGUUAAAAGGCUUAAAUUUUUCUUUAGGACGAGAAGACCCUAUAGAGCUUGACAUUUAAUUUGUAUAUAUUUUUAUGAUGAUCUUUAUAUAUAUAAUGUUAAUGUUUUGUUGGGGUGACAUGCAGAAU
This 279-nucleotide ribosomal RNA is filed under the name Boopedon nubilum (ebony grasshopper). RNAcentral's name for it is "partial 16S ribosomal RNA". It matches the Rfam family "Archaeal large subunit ribosomal RNA", at positions 1944 to 2358 of the family's 2987-position model. The record is from RNAcentral. Lineage: Eukaryota; Metazoa; Arthropoda; Insecta; Orthoptera; Acrididae.